RNAcentral lists this ribosomal RNA (429 nucleotides) under Acidobacteriota bacterium. RNAcentral describes it as "Acidobacteria bacterium partial 16S ribosomal RNA". It matches the Rfam family "Bacterial small subunit ribosomal RNA", at positions 355 to 776 of the family's 1533-position model. The record is from RNAcentral. Lineage: Bacteria; Pseudomonadati; Acidobacteriota.
UGGGGAAUUUUGGACAAUGGGGGAAACCCUGAUCCAGCAACCCCGCGUGUGCGAUGAAGGCCUUCGGGUUGUAAAGCACUUUUGGCAGGAAAGAAACGCCAUGGGUUAAUACCCCGUGAAACUGACGGAACCUGCAGAAUAAGCACCGGCUAACUACGUGCCAGCAGCCGCGGUAAUACGUAGGGUGCAAGCGUUAAUCGGAAUUACUGGGCGUAAAGCGUGCGCAGGCGGUUCGGAAAGAAAGAUGUGAAAUCCCAGAGCUCAACUUUGGAACUGCAUUUUUAACUACCGGGCUAGAGUGUGUCAGAGGGAGGUGGAAUUCCGCGUGUAGCAGUGAAAUGCGUAGAUAUGCGGAGGAACACCGAUGGCGAAGGCAGCCUCCUGGGAUAACACUGACGCUCAUGCACGAAAGCGUGGGGAGCAAACAGG